UCUCUACAUCAAAAACUGAUAAAAGGCCA
RNAcentral lists this non-coding RNA (29 nucleotides) under Mus musculus (house mouse). Lineage: Eukaryota; Metazoa; Chordata; Mammalia; Rodentia; Muridae. The record is from RNAcentral.